AGACGUAGGGGGCGAGCGUUGUCCGGAAUUACUGGGCGUAAAGAGCACGUAGGCGGGACCUUAAGUCAGGUGUGAAAGACCGGGGCCUAACCCCGGGGUUGCACUUGAAACUGGGGUUCUUGAGGGCAGGAGAGGAAAGCAGAAUUCCUGGUGUAGCGGUGAAAUGCGUAGAAAUCAGGAGGAAUACCAGUGGCGAAGGCGGCUUUCUGGACUGACCCUGACGCUGAGGUGCGAAAGCGUGGAUAGCAAACAGGAUUAGAUACCCUGGUAGUCCACGCUGUAAACGAUGGAUACUAGGUGUGGGAGGUAUCGACCCCUUCCGUGCCGGAGCUAACGCAAUAAGUAUCCCGCCUGGGGAGUACGGUCGCAAGGCUGAA
Molecule: ribosomal RNA, 377 nt
Filed under: uncultured bacterium
Lineage: Bacteria
Description: bacterial SSU rRNA
Rfam family: Bacterial small subunit ribosomal RNA
Source: RNAcentral